UUUCAGAUUUCAAAUAGAAAGAUCAUGAAAGAUAUUUCAUUUCAGUAAGUUAAUACUUACGCUGAAACCCAUUUUUUUUAAAUUGAUGCAUAGUUGACAUACAGUGUUAUAUUAAUUUCAGGUGUACAACACAAUGAUUCAACAAGUCUGUACAUUACUCAGUGCUCACCAAGUAAUCUACACCCAACGAGGGGCUGGAACUCACAAUCCCAAGAUCAAGAGGUGUAUGCUCUACCAACUCAGCCAGCCAGUGGAAAUCCCAUGGCUGCCUCAAGAGGGAGAAGGACUUCAAAACAGGAGAGGCCGACCCAGUACCAGCAAGCCAUUCACCUAGCCUGAGGGGCCGUCCUUAUGAGCUGCUGCCCCACUUGAGGACUGACAGGAGCCUCAAAUCACUCAACAAAGAGGUCUAAGGCACAAUGAAAUUUACCUUCAUCUGUUGCCUUUUCUGUUUCAGCACUGACCAACAACUUGAAGCCACAGCCUAGAUAAAUGCAGAUGAGAAAAAGCAAGACUUAAAUUUACAACUAUAUAAACUUUGCAUUAGGAGUGAUUUUUAUUAGAAAUUAAUAGGUUAUAAGUCUAAAAUGUUCAAAGCAUUAACCACU
Long non-coding RNA from Neofelis nebulosa (Clouded leopard), 608 nucleotides. RefSeq lists it as uncharacterized. Lineage: Eukaryota; Metazoa; Chordata; Mammalia; Carnivora; Felidae. The record is from RefSeq and is a predicted model, not a curated record. The transcript has 3 exons.